RNA transcript from Trifolium pratense (red clover), 2086 nucleotides. RefSeq lists it as uncharacterized. The transcript has 3 exons. The record is from RefSeq and is a predicted model, not a curated record. NCBI's taxonomy places the organism in Eukaryota, Viridiplantae, Streptophyta, Magnoliopsida, Fabales, Fabaceae.
UGAGUCCCAGUAAAGUUGUGGCUGAGUGAGAGAUUUGAUUUGGCAUGUUUAUAGUUGCAUUGCAUAAGGAUAAGAAGAGUGAUGAAUAUCUGAUCUUUCUGGUGCUUAGAUUGAUUGGUUAACGCUAUGAUGAUGUCCAGUUCCGUUAUUAAUAUUACUAUUAGGGUUCCAUCUCUUCCUCUUUCUCUGUCAUCAUCUUCUUCUUCUUCUAAUAAAACAUUUCCAAACACAUUCUUCUUCAAAUGCCGCAGCAGCAGCAGCAGCAACAACAACAACUCGGAUGAGAACGAUUUCAAAGACGCACUGUCUGGAAUGAUGGGCGAGCAAGUUGAAGAGCUAUUGAGCAGACAAGAGAAUAAGAUUUUGAUGGACAGGUUAGAGAAGGCAUCACAGAGAGUUGAGAUUGCUAGGACUGAACUUGCUUUCAUUGAAAAACAGGAACUUGCUCUAAAACAGUUCAAGGAUUACACUCAACAGCUUGAAGGAAAAGCUUCCCAGAUUGCACAAAGUCAAAGAGAAAUUUCUGAGGCAAAAGCCAUGCUUCAGGAAGCAGAACGAUCUCUCUUGAUAAAUGAAGAACAAGAAAUUGAUCGUGAUGAAGAGAGACUGGAAUCACUAAAAGCAGCAUCUAUCUCUGCCCUUGUUGGCACUUUCUCAUGGCUUCCCAUAUGCUUCGCUCAGUCCACCAACACAACUCAACUGCUUCUCUCUUUGGCAAUCAAUUUCAUAUCUUGUGCAUUGUUUGGAGUCACUUUUCGAUACACCGUAAGGACAAAUUUGGAUGAUUUUCAGCUUAAGACUGGGGUUGCAGCAGCUUUUGCUGUUGUUAAAGGUCUCGCAAUCCUCAGUGCUGGAUCACUUCUUGAACUGAACUUCGAAAGCUUAUUAUCGUAUGCCUGGGAUGGAACAAUUUAUGUGUCUGAGAAUCUUGUCAUUUUUCUUUCUGCUGCUAUUAGUCUAGAUUAUUGUUUAAAGACAAGACUUUUGAGCCCUUUUCCAAUUGAUAGAACAGGUUAGUGGCAAUUAGAAUUAAUUAUCUAAUUAUCAUAGCCUACAUGGACAUCGAUAAAUUUGUUGCUUUCAUUUCGAAUUAUUAAGUUAAUGCCUUCAUACACCAAAGAAAUGAUAAACAUUGAAGACUAUUCUCACCGCAAAGAAAAGCUGCAUAGCAUACUGAUUUUGGAAAAACAACUAAUAUGUUAUGAUUAAAAGUGUUUGAAAACGAAUGCUCUGCUGCCUGACAACAGUGGGUAAUGCCUGAGCUGAAUUUUCACGGGAGACGGGGUGAAUAUAUUUUCAUGGGAUUUCCUCAAGUAGAACUCUAGCCUUAGCAAAGUAUUUGGAGAGAAUGAAAGAGAGGAGUUAUGUUGUUGACUUCUUUCCGUAAUUUUGAGUUGUAUGCAAGCUGAAAAUAGUUGCAAUAGCUUGAUAGGAAUUAGAAUUGAAUUGGCACAUGUUCUCAAAUUAUGGCAUGCUGGAAAUGGUAUUGUGAGAGGAAUCUGUGUUUGAAGUUUCUCUCAUAACUGGUUCAUUGACAGUGGGAGAGUAUCAGGGUACAUAAAAUUUAAGUUCAUGGGUGAAGAAUGGGCAUCAUGAUUAUGGAUUGAUUUGGUUCAGCAUUACUGUGUCAUUCUUCUUGAGCUGAUAUGAGAUUUUGUGUUCCUAUGUGUUUGAUGUUUCCUUCAUUAAUUAACUGCACUUUGUAAAAAGGUCCUAUUUUGAAUCCAAUGAUGUUUUAGUUAGAGGAACCCAUUUGAAGUAAAUUAAAAAAUCAUAUUACUUUUUGAUGAUAUUUUUGGGGUUAUGUGCUUCCUUCUUUACGGUGCUCUUCUGUGAUGCCACUGGAAUAUGACUACAUCGACUUAUGCCACCGGAUUUGACGACAAACCAAUCUUGGAUCAGUUAUUGGGGAGACAUUUCUUUGUGCAUUGUACGAGUUCUAAUACUAGUCAGUUAAUAAACAUAAUAAGGAUGAACCCUUUCUUUACUUUAUCACAAUAGUGGCUGCCACAUGCCAUGUAAUAAGAUCAGCUUACAUUUAUGUUUUGAAUUAUGAUACAAUGAAAAAUUUGUUCCAUCUUGUCCA